RNAcentral lists this ribosomal RNA (465 nucleotides) under Vreelandella stevensii. RNAcentral's name for it is "partial 16S ribosomal RNA". It matches the Rfam family "Bacterial small subunit ribosomal RNA", at positions 338 to 795 of the family's 1533-position model. Lineage: Bacteria; Pseudomonadati; Pseudomonadota; Gammaproteobacteria; Oceanospirillales; Halomonadaceae. The record is from RNAcentral.
CCUACGGGUGGCUGCAGUGGGGAAUAUUGGACAAUGGGCGAAAGCCUGAUCCAGCCAUGCCGCGUGUGUGAAGAAGGCCUUCGGGUUGUAAAGCACUUUCAGUGGGGAAGAAAGCCUUGGGGCUAAUACCCUCGAGGAAGGACAUCACCCACAGAAGAAGCACCGGCUAACUCCGUGCCAGCAGCCGCGGUAAUACGGAGGGUGCGAGCGUUAAUCGGAAUUACUGGGCGUAAAGCGCGCGUAGGCGGUCUGAUAAGCCGGUUGUGAAAGCCCCGGGCUCAACCUGGGAACGGCAUCCGGAACUGUCAGGCUAGAGUGCAGGAGAGGAAGGUAGAAUUCCCGGUGUAGCGGUGAAAUGCGUAGAGAUCGGGAGGAAUACCAGUGGUGAAGGCGGCCUUCUGGACUGACACUGACGCUGAGGUGCGAAAGCGUGGGUAGCAAACAGGAUUAGAUACCCCUGUAGUC